CAGCCGUAAACAAUGUGCGUUAGGUGUAUCGGUGACCACGAGUUACCGAGGUGCCGAAGGGAAACCGUGAAACGUGCCGCCUGGGAAGUACGGUCGCAAGGCUGAAACUUAAAGGAAUUGGCGGGGGAGCACCACAAACAGGUGGAGCCUGCGGUUUAAUUGGACUCAACGCCGGGAAGCUCACCGGAUAGGACAGCAGAAUGAUUGCCGGGCUGAAGACCCUGCAUGACUAGCUGAGAGGAGGUGCAUGGCGUCAGUGACU
This 262-nucleotide ribosomal RNA is filed under the name uncultured archaeon. Its description in RNAcentral is "partial 16S ribosomal RNA". It matches the Rfam family "Archaeal small subunit ribosomal RNA", at positions 748 to 1008 of the family's 1478-position model. The record is from RNAcentral.